Long non-coding RNA from Dreissena polymorpha, 1131 nucleotides. RefSeq lists it as uncharacterized. NCBI's taxonomy places the organism in Eukaryota, Metazoa, Mollusca, Bivalvia, Myida, Dreissenidae. The transcript has 4 exons. The record is from RefSeq and is a predicted model, not a curated record.
GGUUUUUUUCCGUUUUGCGAAGGAUGAUGUUACUUGUAAGAAAUGGAUAAAGGCUGUCAAUUCCAGGAGAGUAAUCGAUGGGAGACUGGUUGAUUUCAAACCGAGUAAGGCAUCUAGAUUGUGCUUGAAACAUUUUGACGACAGUUGUUUUUUUUUCAUCCUCCAAGUGUUAUGGCUAGUGUUGGAAUGGAGCUCAAAGCUGGUGCAAUUCCAACGAUAUUUCCGGAAACAGAGGCAUGCAAAGCUUCAAAGAAAGCUCCUCUAAAUCCCAACGACCUUGGACCAGGGAAGCACAACCGAGCGAAGUAUGGCGCCUAUUCUGAAAGGAACCGGACCCAUAUUCAUCAUGUGUGGAAGAGCCAGAUGUCUGUGAAGAAAUGUCUUGUGAACAGUCGCCUGUUCGGAUCAGUUAUCCUGAAUCACAUUUUGAUAAUGUGUAUUCGCAGUCAUCACAGACAUCUGAGACGGUUGUAUUUCGGCCAACAGAACAUAAGGAAUUCACUGUCAAACCACAGGGAAAGAACUCUCCUAUCCUAAGUACAAGGCUGGACACCAUGUGGUUAAAGCAGUUAAAGAGAAUUGCACUUAUGACUAUGUUGAUGAACUAAUGGCAGAGCUGCUUAGGAUGAAAGAGGAGUACAAGAGCGAUGCCAAUGCAAGGGCUGCCUCUGGCAACAUUCUGUUUUCACCGCCACCCGUCUUCAUCUGCAAACAGAAUCCUGAAGUCAGAGGCUGUGCAGAACCAUCGUUCGCGAUUUAAUUAGCGAACAGGGAUGGAAAUGAGUGGUUGCCCGUUUUGUUGUAUAGUUAUCUAUUACUUUUAAAGAAAGUAUUGGUUACACAUGACACUACAUGUACAUAGUACUGGGCGCGUUGAGGCUUACGAUGGGAAACCAAAAAACUAUAGAUGGUUGUCCAUGUGGGCAACCAACUGUAAAACGUUAGUUUCCAUCCCUGGCGAAGCAAAAUCAAAUGUAUGAGUCGGACGGAAAUUUCUGGCUGCCACAGCGCAUGACGGAAGAGGUCGUCGAUCCUUCUUGCUCUGACGGUGCCAAAUCCAACGAGCCAGUCUUCUAUAUGCAAUGUAUCUGUAUACUCUGAAGUUAUAAAUGUAUAAGGAUACCAUUAUGA